Molecule: ribosomal RNA, 169 nt
Filed under: uncultured bacterium
Lineage: Bacteria
Description: partial 16S ribosomal RNA
Rfam family: Bacterial small subunit ribosomal RNA
Source: RNAcentral
CCUACGGGAGGCAGCAGUGGGGAAUAUUGCACAAUGGAGGAAACUCUGAUGCAGCGAUGCCGCGUGAGUGAAGAAGGCCUUUGGGUUGUAAAGCUCUUUCGUCGGGGAAGAAAAUGACUGUACCCGAAUAAGAAGGUCCGGCUAACUUCGUGCCAGCAGCCGCGGUAAU